GAUUUACAAAAUCCAUCAAUGGGUGAAGAACAUUUCAGAUGAGAUCACUUUAGCUGCCAAGGUGUGAUCUGAUAAUCACACUGUUACAGUGAGGUGCAACCCAAGCUGGAGAGAGAAAUCAUCUUCUAACUGGGCACAGAGCUGGUGUCUGGAAUGACCAUCAAACUCUCUGAUGCCCUUCCUGUCUCUAUGAGAAUGGGGCAUUUCUGUCAUCUCCAAUCUGUGACCUGGCUCAGUUUGACUGUCUCCAUUGGUAUUAUUCCCUGUUCCCACUGAGCUGCAUGGGGGCCUGGCCCCACAGUAAAUGAAACACUCACACAAAUAGCAUUGUUAACCUGCAGCUGGGAUUUUCUUUUAUGUACUGUUAAUUUAAAGUACCACAGUUUAAUGCCAUGUAAAUAUCUCCUACUCAGAUGCAUAGUUGCUCUGCACAGCUGUGCUGUCUUUACGACAGUUAUUUAGUUUAUAAUAUUUUCGCUUAGUAAUUCAUUCAAUAGUAUUUUCUAGUUAGAAUUAGAAGUGUUUAAAGUGUAUUCAUUGCAUGUAAAAUAUAUCGGCAUGCGAUGACGUCACAUCCGGUUUCGCCGCGUCUUGUGGGAAAAUACCGGUUUGAAAUUAGCGCGAGGGUGGGGGCUUUCCACGAGGCUCACCUGAGCACAAGCAGUUUUGCAGGCAUGAGAAAUCACAGUGAGAGCAACGCUGUAAGUUAAUAGAUAAUCGAUAUAUUGAACUAAGAUGUUAAUGCUGAUCCUGUUAGAGGUAGCGACGGUAGAUAAUGUUUAUGCUUUCGUUAGUUAAAGAGUCGCGGAUAGUUUGCAUGGAAGUGUAUUUAAAGUAGUCAAUGGAGCAGGUAAACUCUCCCUGUAUACUGCACCUUAGUGUAAUGUAGUUAUAGUCACCUUUGCAAGUAUUUACACUUGAAAUGUGAUAUUAAGGAAGGAACAAAUACUGUAUCAAUCUUGUAUUGUUUUAUCAACAGUUUUCACCAUAUGUUAAUGUGAAGAGUGAACAGUAAAUGGUUAAUCUUACUGCGAUCUGGUUCUUAUUAACUGUGGUUUAUCCGGACGUUAAAUUCGGCGUUUCGUUACACCCGAAGGAGAACGUUACAGUGAAAAAGCGGCAUUAUCAGGUGUUUCAAGUGCUGCAAUGUCAGCUCAAUCCAGCAUCAAGUCGACGCCGCCCAGCGACAAGGGCAGUAAACCGACAUCAAGUAAGCCCACCCAGGCGUUAUCAGGUGUUCCAAGUGCUGCAAUGUCAGCUCGAUCUGGGAUCAAGUCGAUGGCACCCAGCGACAAGGGCAGUAGAACGACAUCAAGUAAGUCCGCACAGGCAAGAGCCAAGGCAGAAGCCGCCAAGGUGCGACUGCAUUACGCCAAACAAGAAGCAGUUUUGAAAAUUAAACUGGCUGCCAGAGAAGCCGAAAGGGCCGCCAGAAAGGCAGAAGCCGCCAAGGUGCUACUGCGUUACGCCAGACAAGAAGCAGUUUUGAAAAUGAAACUGGCCACCAGAGAAGCCGAAAUCCAGAAAGAAAGGGCCGCCAGAGAAGCCGAAAGGGUCGCCAGACAAAGAGAAGAGGCUGCCAGAGAAGCCGAAAUCCAGAAAGAAAGGGCCGCCAGAGAAGCCGAAACCCAGUUGGAAAUGGCAAAAAUAUCGACAGAGUUGCAAGUGCUGCAGCGAGAAAGAGAAGAAGAAGCUGCCAUGGCGGAAGCAAAGUACAUAGAAGAAGCUGAAGGGUCGCGUGAUCUGACCGAAGCAAGAUCUACUUUAGAAAGGACCAGACUGGAACGCACAAACGACUAUGUACAAUCUCAAAUAGACAGGCAGGCUCGUCUUCCCUCUCCAUACGUAUUCGAUAACUUCCCCAGCUACGAGGAACCUCAGAGAGUCACGAUUGCAUCACAUCCAUACGAGGAAGGAAAUUUACCCUCACGGCUCCGUGACGAAGUCAAGAAUGAAAGAACCGACAACGCUCCUUCACCCCCACAACAGGACGGCGGGGAGGGAGAGGUUCACUCCAGGACAACAAUUGUCAGCUCGAACUGUACAGAAGUUUGCGGUCAAACUCAGUCAAGCCGUUCUUGUUCCGAGAUCUGCCUCACUGAGGUGUACCCUAAAGAAGCACAACAAGACAUUACCAAGUAUAAAGUAACCGACGAGACGCUAGGUCAGUCAGUUUUCGUUCAAACGAAGUAUGACAACAAACUUGCACAAUCAGCUCAAGAUACCAUUUCUUUAAAACCCAAAGACACCAAGGUCUUCAGAGAUGAAGCAAAUAAUGGGGUUGCCCCAUUGCCAAUCAGAGAACCACGCCAGCGCUCACCAGAUAACAAAGAGCAGGCAGUCAAACGGUUCACGUCCUUACGGAAAAUCUGGAAAAGGAAACCUGAGAUACAGCAACGCACCCGAUUGGCCCACGAGGUACUGUGCACCCUAAUGGCAGAGGUCACAGCCAUUAUAAACGCACAAUCAUUCCUACCUGUGUCUUCUGACCCAGAAAACCCCUUUAUACUUUCGCCAUCAACGCUCCUUAUGCAGAAGGCAGGAGCACCUCCUCCACCAGGAGACUUUUCAGACAGGGAUCUGUACACAAAGCAAUGGAGACAAGUCCAGGCUCUGGCAAAUCAGUUCUGGCCUCGCUGGAGACAAAAAUAUCUACCUUUGUUGCAACAGAGACAAAAGUGGACAGGACCCCACAGGAAUCUGGCCAACGGCCAGAAUCACUGCUACAUUCCCUAGCGAGGAUGGACAUGUCAGGAAGAUCGAAUUGAAGACUACCGACCAAGGCGAUGUGAAAAUUUACCAAGGGCCAGUUACAGAAGUUAUUCUACUUCUACCCAAUGACUGAUUAAGAGACUAAGUUUUGUACUCUGCUCAUUGUGACCUUACGAAGGUCAAGCGGGGAGUGUGCUGUCUUUACGACAGUUAUUUAGUUUAUAAUAUUUUCGCUUAGUAAUUCAUUCAAUAGUAUUUUCUAGUUAGAAUUAGAAGUGUUUAAAGUGUAUUCAUUGCAUGUAAAAUAUAUCGGCAUGCGAUGACGUCACAUCCGGUUUCGCCGCGUCUUGUGGGAAAAUACCGGUUUGAAAUUAGCGCGAGGGUGGGGGCUUUCCACGAGGCUCACCUGAGCACAAGCAGUUUUGCAGGCAUGAGAAAUCACAGUGAGAGCAACGCUUUUUCACCAUAUGUUAAUGUGAAGAGUGAACAGUAAAUGGUUAAUCUUACUGCGAUCUGGUUCUUAUUAACUGUGGUUUAUCCGGACGUUAAAUUCGGCGUUUC
This is an RNA transcript of Hypanus sabinus (Atlantic stingray), 3273 nucleotides long. RefSeq lists it as uncharacterized. The record is from RefSeq and is a predicted model, not a curated record. Lineage: Eukaryota; Metazoa; Chordata; Chondrichthyes; Myliobatiformes; Dasyatidae. The transcript has 2 exons.